This 683-nucleotide long non-coding RNA is filed under the name Oryza brachyantha (malo sina). RNAcentral describes it as "long non-coding RNA (OBRA_LNC000498)". The record is from RNAcentral. Lineage: Eukaryota; Viridiplantae; Streptophyta; Magnoliopsida; Poales; Poaceae.
GGGUGCUAGUGAAGUGAGGAGGGGUGAUGAUUUAUGCACCGCAGAGUGGAGGGACUACAACUGGACAACAGGAAAAUGGUGAAUUCCCUUUCAGUCAGCAUCAAGGACUGCAACCAUUAAUUUUAAAACCAAGGAAUACGACGCUGAUUAUUUCGUCAGCACGGAAUGUUCUGUUCAUUGUUACCAAUUAUUUUGUCAGGAUCGCUGAAGUUGCCUGAGCAAAACUCCACAUGAAGAGAAAUCUAGCCUUGAGCUGCAUGCCUACUAGUACGCCCAUGUUGCUGCAAAUCAUAACAGUUCCAUUUGCUGUGCACUGUGACUGAUAGGUUGAUAUGAUGACCAUUUGGGGGAGAUCUUAAAGAUAACACUUCACUGCAGCGUGCUACUGGAACUUUAUUUUUCCCCUGCUGUGAGUAUAAUUCUGAACACAUUGUAUCUAUCGACAAGAGAGGAUGGGAUGCAUGUCACAUUUCACGGCGGGUGAAUAAACUACCUUGUCGUCGUCAAGAUCAAUUCUUGGGCGGAUAAUUGAUAAUGUUGUUUUCUUGGGACAAUGUCACUUUCAGGUUGAAAUAAAAUCGGAACAAUGGCUGUGAAGAGCAGGCAGGCAGGAGACGGUUUCGUCGUUACAAGGGAGGGGAUGGAUAUGACAAAGGGGAGAUCCGGGAGAAGAGACAAACUUG